UAUUGCACAAUGGGGGAAACCCUGAUGCAGCGACGCCGCGUGAGUGAAGAAGUAUUUCGGUANGUAAAGCACUAUCAGCAGGAACNNAANNNGNCGGUACCUGACUAAGAAGCACCGGCUAACUACGUGCCAGCAGCCGCGGUAAUACGUAGGGGGCAAGCGUUAUCCGGAAUCACUGGGUGUAAAGGGAGCGUAGACGGCUGAGCAAGCCUGAAGUGAAAGGCGGGGGCCCAACCCCUGGACUGCUUUGGGAACUGUACGGCUGGAGUGCAGGAGAGGUAAGUGGAAUUCCUAGUGUAGCGGUGAAAUGCGUAGAUAUUAGGAGGAACACCAGUGGCGAAGGCGGCUUACUGGACUGUAACUGACGUUGAGGCUCGAAAGCGUGGGGAGCA
RNAcentral lists this ribosomal RNA (392 nucleotides) under uncultured bacterium. RNAcentral's name for it is "bacterial SSU rRNA". It matches the Rfam family "Bacterial small subunit ribosomal RNA", at positions 362 to 770 of the family's 1533-position model. The record is from RNAcentral.